RNAcentral lists this ribosomal RNA (204 nucleotides) under Clavicipitaceae sp. RNAcentral's name for it is "partial small subunit ribosomal RNA". It matches the Rfam family "Eukaryotic small subunit ribosomal RNA", at positions 1334 to 1562 of the family's 1831-position model. The record is from RNAcentral. Lineage: Eukaryota; Fungi; Ascomycota; Sordariomycetes; Hypocreales; Clavicipitaceae.
AACGAGACCUUAACCUGCUAAAUCGCCCGUAUUGCUUUGGCAGUACGCUGGCUUCUUAGAGGGACUAUCGGUUCAAGCCGAUGGAAUUUGGAUGCAAUAACAGGUCUGUGAUGCCCUUAGAUUUUCUUGGACUCCCGCGCGCUUCCCUGACGGAGCCAGCGAGUCCUCCCUUGGCCGAAAGGCCUGGGUAAUCUUGUGAAACUC